Molecule: ribosomal RNA, 424 nt
Filed under: Verrucomicrobiota bacterium
Lineage: Bacteria; Pseudomonadati; Verrucomicrobiota
Description: Verrucomicrobia bacterium partial 16S ribosomal RNA
Rfam family: Bacterial small subunit ribosomal RNA
Source: RNAcentral
UGAGGAAUAUUGGUCAAUGGGCGAGAGCCUGAACCAGCCAAGUAGCGUGCAGGAUGACGGCCCUAUGGGUUGUAAACUGCUUUUAUAUGGGAAUAAAGUGAGGGACGUGUCCCUUAUUGCAUGUACCAUACGAAAAAGCCCCGGCUAACUACGUGCCAGCAGCCGCGGUAAUACGUAGGGGGCUAGCGUUGUCCGGAAUCACUGGGCGUAAAGCGCGCGCAGGUGGUUUAGAAAGUCUGAUGUGAAAGCCCACGGCUCAACCGUGGAGGGUCAUUGGAAACUAAUAAACUUGAGUGCAGGAGAGAAAAGUGGAAUUCCUAGUGUAGCGGUGAAAUGCGUAGAGAUUAGGAGGAACACCGGUGGCGAAAGCGGCUCUCUGGUCUGUAACUGACGCUGAGGCUCGAAAGCGUGGGGAGCGAACAGG